AGAAUCAACGCUGGCGGCGUGCCUAACACAUGCAAGUCGAGCGCCCAGCAAUGGGAGCGGCGGACGGGUGAGUAACACGUGGGAACAUGCCCUUUGGUACGGGACAACUCAGGGAAACUUGAGCUAAUACCGUAUGAGCCGGUAACGGGAAAGAUUUAUCGCCAAAGGAAUGGCCCGCGUCCGAUUAGCUAGUUGGUGAGGUAAUGGCUCACCAAGGCACCGAUCGGUAGCUGGUUUGAGAGAACGACCAGCCACACUGGGACUGAGACACGGCCCAGACUCCUACGGGAGGCAGCAGUGGGGAAUCUUGGACAAUGGGGGCAACCCUGAUCCAGCCAUGCCGCGUGAGUGAUGAAGGCCUUCGGGUUGUAAAACUCUUUCGACGGGGACGAUAAUGACGGUACCCGUAGAAGAAGCUUCGGCUAACUUCGUGCCAGCAGCCGC
This 444-nucleotide ribosomal RNA is filed under the name uncultured bacterium. RNAcentral describes it as "SSU rRNA". It matches the Rfam family "Bacterial small subunit ribosomal RNA", at positions 26 to 518 of the family's 1533-position model. The record is from RNAcentral.